Molecule: transfer RNA, 72 nt
Filed under: Phrynosoma platyrhinos (Desert horned lizard)
Lineage: Eukaryota; Metazoa; Chordata; Lepidosauria; Squamata; Phrynosomatidae
Description: tRNA-OTHER
Source: RNAcentral
GCAAGUGUGGCAUAGUGGUUUGACUGUUGGACUAUGGCUCUGGAGACCUGGGUUUGAAUCCCAGCUCAGCCA